RNAcentral lists this ribosomal RNA (497 nucleotides) under uncultured bacterium. RNAcentral describes it as "partial 16S ribosomal RNA". It matches the Rfam family "Bacterial small subunit ribosomal RNA", at positions 28 to 507 of the family's 1533-position model. The record is from RNAcentral.
GAUGAACGCUGGCGGCGUGCCUAAUACAUGCAAGUCGAGCGAACAGACGAGGAGCUUGCUCCUCUGACGUUAGCGGCGGACGGGUGAGUAACAAGUGGAUAACCUACCUAUAAGACUGGGAUAAAUUCGGGAAACCGGAGCUAAUAACGGAUAAUAUAUUGAACCGCAUGGUUCAAUAGUGAAAGACGGUUUUGCUGUCAAUGAUAGAUGGAUCCGCGCCGCAUUAGCUAGUUGGUAAGGUAACGGCUUACCAAGGCAACGAUGCGUAGCCGACCUGAGAGGGUGAUCGGCCACACUGGAACUGAGACACGGUCCAGACUCCUACGGGAGGCAGCAGUAGGGAAUCUUCCGCAAAGGGCGCAAGCCUGACGGAGCAACGCCGCGUGAGUGAUGAAGGUCUUCGGAUCGUAAAACUCUGUUAUUAGGGAAGAACAAAUGUGUAAGUAACUAUGCACGUCUUGACGGUACCUAAUCAGAAAGCCACGGCUAACUACGUG